Molecule: transfer RNA, 85 nt
Filed under: Clostridium sp. CAG:508
Lineage: Bacteria; Bacillati; Bacillota; Clostridia; Eubacteriales; Clostridiaceae
Also listed under: 1 other name
Description: transfer RNA-Leu(GAG)
Rfam family: tRNA
About the family: Transfer RNA (tRNA) molecules are approximately 80 nucleotides in length. Their secondary structure includes four short double-helical elements and three loops (D, anti-codon, and T loops). Further hydrogen bonds mediate the characteristic L-shaped molecular structure. tRNAs have two regions of fundamental functional importance: the anti-codon, which is responsible for specific mRNA codon recognition, and the 3' end, to which the tRNAs corresponding amino acid is attached (by aminoacyl-tRNA synthetases). tRNAs cope with the degeneracy of the genetic code in two manners: having more than one tRNA (with a specific anti-codon) for a particular amino acid; and 'wobble' base-pairing, i.e. permitting non-standard base-pairing at the 3rd anti-codon position.
Source: RNAcentral
GCGAAUAUGCUGGAACUGGCAGACAGGCACGUUUGAGGGGCGUGUGCAGUAUUGCGUGUGGGUUCAAGUCCCACUAUUCGCACCA